Molecule: long non-coding RNA, 1075 nt
Organism: Magnolia sinica
Lineage: Eukaryota; Viridiplantae; Streptophyta; Magnoliopsida; Magnoliales; Magnoliaceae
Exons: 3
Source: RefSeq, a predicted model, not a curated record
AAAAUGAGCAAUUCGUUUGGCUUUUAGGGUUCUCUAAACCUUAUUGGGUUAUCUUGAAAUUGGCCGAAUCAACUAAUCAAGUUGGCCAGAUCUCGAGCCAUUUGUUGCAGUUAUUGCUACCAUGAAUUGCUGGAUGUUUAUUUGGUCUUUGGAUGAUGCAGAUUUUGGGGAGUGGUCUAUCUACACCAAAUUUGUGUUACUGAGCCAUGGAUCCCACUCGUAAGAAUUGAAAACCUGGGAAUUUGUGUUACUGAGUUGUAAUGUUAGUAACAUUAGGAAAUAAGGGGUGGCUAGUUAAUACACAGAGCUAAAGAGAAUCUCUGUUUUACGCUUCAUAGCUUUUUCUUGUGUGAUGCUCUUCUACAUAUCCAAGAUCUAGAAUUGGACUUGAAAAGACCCGAACACAGUUAGGAUAUGGGUACUAUAGGUCCUGACCCCAACCCAUUGAUAGUGCCCUGGACUACAGUUUCAGGUAGUUCCACAUCUUGCAAUUUUUAUUUUUAUUUUUGAAGUUCAAAAAAGCUUUGAAGGUGGUUUUUCGUUCUAUAAUUUCAGUAGCAGGAAAAAUAAAAAAUUGAUUAUUUUUAUUUUAUUUUAUUUAUAAAGGGCAUUGCUCUUGUUAGAAAUGCUAUUAUGGAUCCUCAUUCAGAAUUUCUGUUGGUUUGCUACUCUACACAAAUGGGCCUGAUAUUGGAGAAGUGGACUCAUUGCAAUUUGAUUUGGGUACAAUCAGAGCUGCUACUAAUAACUUCUCAGAUGCAAAUAAGCUUGGACAAGGUGGAUUUGGUGCCGUUUACAAGUUAUACUUCGUUCAGGUGGAACGUAUGAUGUUUUGUCCUGACCAGAACUGUAAGAUCCAUAUACACCAUGUCUAUCAAACAUGCAAAACCAACGGGAUUUGAUCAAUUGCGCCUAAACUUAGGCCCACAAGCACAGAAGUCUUUUGACACCAGCUAGGAGUGAACCACAUGGAGAAAUUUUUUUAAUGUAUUUAAGACCAUUUUCAACUAAUUGUUGUAAAUAUUAUAUAUAUUUUUUUAUAUUGUGAAGUAAUAUAUUUUUUGUUUAAUAUUCA